ACUCCUACGGGAGGCAGCAGUAGGGAAUAUUGGUCAAUGGAUGGAAGUCUGAACCAGCCAUGCCGCGUGCAGGAAGAAGGCCUUCUGGGUUGUAAACUGCUUUUGCCAGGGGAUAAAAAGACCGUGCGCGGUUAAUUGAAGGUACCUGGUGAAUAAGCCACGGCUAACUACGUGCCAGCAGCCGCGGUAAUACA
RNAcentral lists this ribosomal RNA (194 nucleotides) under uncultured bacterium. RNAcentral describes it as "partial 16S ribosomal RNA". It matches the Rfam family "Bacterial small subunit ribosomal RNA", at positions 335 to 527 of the family's 1533-position model. The record is from RNAcentral.